CAGGCUCCUCCCCUCCUGUCCCUCUGUCAUCUGCCUCAUGGUCUCCAAUGGCUGCUCCAGCUCAUCACAGCUGUCAGGGGAGGAGAGAAGUGGGCAUAGGGGGCAAGCCCCCAUCCUUUAAGGGCAUGAGCCAGAAUUUGUACACAUCCCUUCUGCUCACAUCCAUUAGCCAGAAGUUAAUCACACAGCCAUACCUCACUGCAAGGGAGAUGAGAAAGUGGAUGCUAUGCCCAGUGAGAGUGAAGAUCUUUGAUUAUGAAGGUUGAGUGGCCCGGAGAAUAACAAGCAGCCUCUUCCACAGCAGACGGUAAACGGCGCAUGUACAGUAGGACAUAUGCCAAAAAUUUUCAGCAGUGAUCAUCUCUAAAUGGUGAUUUUUAUGUUUGGUUUAUGCUUUUCUGUACAAAUACUCUAAUGAACAUGUACUACCUUUGAAGUCAAGGCAAAAAACGUUACCAUAUUUCCUGUUUAAUUAUUCCAGUCUCCCUGCACUUCUGCUUCAUUUCCUGCCAGGCCAGGGUCUUUACAGUGCCAGCACAGCCCUGGCUCAUUUGGCCUCAGAGUCUUUUAAUCAUGCUGUCCCUAGGGCCCCGAGCGCUGCCUGACCCCCUCCCCCAGCAUCCCCAUUCAGUUCUCCUCCUUCAAGAUCAGUUCAAGAUCCAUCCAUCUGCACUCUUGCUUCUCCAGGAGAAAUUCCCCAACUGUCACAGGCUCUGGGCAGUCUUGCCUCAAAAGUAACCACAUCAGCUGGGUGCAGUGGCUCAUGCCUGUAAUCCCAGCACUGUGGGAGGCCAAGGCGGGCCUUGGCCUGAGGUCGGGAGUUUGAGACCAGCCUAACCCACAUGGAGAAACUCUGUCUCUACUAAAAAUACAGAAUUAGCCAGGCGUGCUGGCAUAUGCCUGUAACCCUAGCUACUCAGGAGGCUGAGGCAGGAGAAUCACUUGAACCCGGGAGGCAGAGCUUGCAGUGAGCCGAGAUUGCACUCCAGCCUGGGCAACAAGGGCAAAAUUCCGUCUCAAAAAAAAAAAAAA
Molecule: long non-coding RNA, 1032 nt
Filed under: Macaca fascicularis (crab-eating macaque)
Lineage: Eukaryota; Metazoa; Chordata; Mammalia; Primates; Cercopithecidae
Description: lncRNA (ENSMFAG00000064035.1)
Source: RNAcentral